AGUGAACGCUGGCGGUAGGCCUAACACAUGCAAGUCGAACGGCAGCACAGUAAGAGCUUGCUCUUACGGGUGGCGAGUGGCGGACGGGUGAGGAAUACAUCGGAAUCUACUUUUUCGUGGGGGAUAACGUAGCGAAACUUACGCUAAUACCGCAUACGACCUACGGGUGAAAGCAGGGGAUCUUCGGACCUUGCGCGAUUGAAUGAGCCGAUGUCGGAUUAGCUAGUUGGCGGGGUAAAGGCCCACCAAGGCGACGAUCCGUAGCUGGUCUGAGAGGAUGAUCAGCCACACUGGAACUGAGACACGGUCCAGACUCCUACGGGAGGCAGCAGUGGGGAAUAUUGGACAAUGGGCGCAAGCCUGAUCCAGCCAUACCGCGUGGGUGAAGAAGGCCUUCGGGUUGUAAAGCCCUUUUGUUGGGAAAGAAAAGCAGCAGGUUAAUACCCCGCUGUUCUGACGGUACCCAAAGAAUAAGCACCGGCUAACUUCGUG
RNAcentral lists this ribosomal RNA (492 nucleotides) under uncultured bacterium. RNAcentral describes it as "partial 16S ribosomal RNA". It matches the Rfam family "Bacterial small subunit ribosomal RNA", at positions 29 to 507 of the family's 1533-position model. The record is from RNAcentral.